GUCUGCGGCCUAUCAGGUAGUAGUGGGUGUAGCGUACCUACUAGCCUACGACGGGUACGGGUUGUGAGAGCAAGAGCCCGGAGAUGGAUUCUGAGACACGAAUCCAGGCCCUACGGGGUGCAGCAGGCGCGAAAACUUUACAAUGCCGGCAACGGCGAUAAGGGGACCUCGAGUGCCAGGUUACAAAUCUGGCUGUCGUGAUGCCUAAAAAGCAUUGCAUAGCAAGGGCCGGGCAAGACCGGUGCCAGCCGCCGCGGUAACACCGGCGGCUCGAGUGGUAACCGUUAUUAUUGGGUCUAAAGGGUCUGUAGCCGGCCGGAUAAGUCUCUUGAGAAAUCUGGCAGCUUAACUGUCAGGCUUUCAGGAGAUACUGUCUGGCUCGAGGCCGGGAGAGGUGAGAGGUACUUCAGGGGUAGGGGUGAAAUCUUGUAAUCCUUGAAGGACCACCAGUGGCGAAGGCGUCUCACCAGAACGGACCUGACGGCAAGGGACGAAAGCUAGGGGCACGAACCGGAUUAGAUACCCGGGUAGUCCUAGCCGUAAACGAUACUCGCUAGGUGUCGGCCACGGUGCGACCGUUGUCGGUGCCGUAGGGAAGCCGUGAAGCGAGC
Molecule: ribosomal RNA, 611 nt
Filed under: uncultured archaeon
Lineage: Archaea
Description: bacterial SSU rRNA
Rfam family: Archaeal small subunit ribosomal RNA
Source: RNAcentral